RNAcentral lists this ribosomal RNA (253 nucleotides) under uncultured bacterium. Its description in RNAcentral is "partial 16S ribosomal RNA". It matches the Rfam family "Bacterial small subunit ribosomal RNA", at positions 524 to 776 of the family's 1533-position model. The record is from RNAcentral.
UACGUAGGUGGCAAGCGUUGUUCGGAAUUAUUGGGCGUAAAGAGCUCGUAGGCGGUUUGUUGCGUCGGCUGUGAAAACCUGAGGCUCAACCUCAGGCCUGCAGUCGAUACGAGCAGACUAGAGUGUUGCAGGGGAGACUGGAAUUCCUGGUGUAGCGGUGGAAUGCGUAGAGAUCCGGAAGAACACCGGAGGCGAAGGCGGCUUGCUGGGCGUGAUCUGACGCUGAGGCGCGAAAGCGUGGGGAGCGAACAGG